GCAUAGCUCUUUUAGGUCAAAUGCUGAGGUCCAAGAACACUGCAGCUCAACAUUGAAGGCAUUAACACUGCCAAGAACAACAACAACAUGUUACAACUUCACUGUUCACUGAUGAAGAACCUAAAAAAGCUGGUCAGUUGAGUGAAUAUGAUUUUCAAGGUUUGAUAUAAAUCUGAAUCAUCUAACAUGAACUAUGUGUUUUCAGCUAGGCACAAAGGAAGGCUAUCUGACGAAACAAGGAGCAUUUGUGAAGAACUGGAAACAGAGAUGGUUCACACUCAACAGAUGUGAACUCAAAUACUUCAAAGACAAAGGGAGUGAGGAGCCCAUCCGGACCGUGGACCUCAGAGCCUGCUCUGCAGUACAGUUUGACUACUCUCAGGAACGAGUCAACUGUUUCUGGUAGGUGAUGUAGUGGUAGGACCUUAUUCAGCACUGAGAGGCUGCAUUACUGAUUUUACAUAAAGAGUGUGGCAAUGUUUGUGUUUGCGUCGACUG
Molecule: long non-coding RNA, 498 nt
Organism: Notothenia coriiceps (black rockcod)
Lineage: Eukaryota; Metazoa; Chordata; Actinopteri; Perciformes; Nototheniidae
Exons: 3
Source: RefSeq, a predicted model, not a curated record